UCUUUUGUAUGUCCUUUAGUACCACCUAGUGGUGAUUCCCAAUAGCUGCUUUGAAAAGGAAGUGAGGGAAUAGUAAACAGGAAGUAGAGUUAAGGAAGUCCCUUUUUGCCCCUGUGUUCAUGGAAUAAGCAUCACAGUGUAACAGUGUUCUUAAUCCUGUGCCUUAAAGUCCACAAAAACAGCUUCAUCUAAGCUGACGGACUUGUGACGGGUCGUCUUUGUUGUUGUUGAAGACGUGAUAACGGCUGUUACACUUCUGGACGAUGUCUGUCAGCUGAAGAACCACCAGGAAGGCAUGUGGACCAGGAGAAGACAGACCGAUGCACAUCUUGAUCUUCUUCAACACAGCUUCAUUGGAUGUGACGGACUCUGCAGACAGUUCAGACUCAAACACUUCUUCUUCACCCAAGAUGGUGUUUCCUGCUGAACUCUUCCCCACUCCCGUCUUCCCAACCAGAACAAUCCUCCACUCAUCAGAACCUGUCAGACAAAGGUUAAGUUAGUUUCAGAGCAGUUCUGUAGCUGAUGUUUGUUUGGAAAUAUAUGCAGAACAAUAAAACUGCUUUACAGAGAGCAAUUCCCAAAAGAUCUUUUUUACUUAGUUUCCUACUUAUUACUUAAUUCUAAUUCGCACCAUCCCAGCCACCGUCUCAUCAGCCUCCUGAUACGAUACAGGACUGGAGCUGCUGUUCAACUGAAGCAAGCCCCCACCUCCCCGUUGCCCCCCACCUCCCCAUUUCCCCUCAGACCUGCAUAACACUAACUAAUAACUAGCCUGGAGUGUUGGCGGAUGGAGCAAUACUGUUUCUUUCUCUUAAAGUUCUUAUUGUUGGGUAGUUUUUUGGUUUUAUUUCAACUGAUUGAUGUUCUUACUAUUUUUUAAAAACACUAUGUGUUGGGAGCUGCUCUAUAAUUUUGUUGAACAAUGACAGUAAAGAUGAUUCUAUUCUAAAACCGUGUGGAAAACUGUUAGUUUGAUGUAUUGAUGUGAGGAAGGUUACAGUCUCCUCAUCGCUCCACACAGAUCUGAUGUUUUCAGCUCUUCAGU
Molecule: long non-coding RNA, 1048 nt
Organism: Thunnus maccoyii (southern bluefin tuna)
Lineage: Eukaryota; Metazoa; Chordata; Actinopteri; Scombriformes; Scombridae
Exons: 4
Source: RefSeq, a predicted model, not a curated record